This 498-nucleotide ribosomal RNA is filed under the name uncultured bacterium. RNAcentral's name for it is "partial 16S ribosomal RNA". It matches the Rfam family "Bacterial small subunit ribosomal RNA", at positions 28 to 507 of the family's 1533-position model. The record is from RNAcentral.
GACGAACGCUGGCGGCGUGCCUAAUACAUGCAAGUCGAGCGGACGAAUCGAAAGCUUGCUUUUGAUUCGUUAGCGGCGGACGGGUGAGUAACACGUGGGCAACCUGCCCUGUAGACGGCGAUAACACCGAGAAAUCGGUGCUAAUACCGGAUAACACGAAAUGUCGCAUGACGUUUCGUUGAAAGACGGCGCAAGCUGUCGCUACAGGAUGGGCCCGCGGCGCAUUAGCUAGUUGGUGAGGUAACGGCUCACCAAGGCGACGAUGCGUAGCCGACCUGAGAGGGUGAUCGGCCACACUGGGACUGAGACACGGCCCAGACUCCUACGGGAGGCAGCAGUAGGGAAUCUUCCGCAAUGGACGAAAGUCUGACGGAGCAACGCCGCGUGAGCGAAGAAGGCCUUCGUGUCGUAAAGCUCUGUUGUUAGGGAAGAACAAGUAACGCAGUAACUGGCGUUACCGUGACGGUACCUAACGAGAAAGCCACGGCUAACUACGUG